UGCUGAAUGCGAUGGGACUUGAUUUCCCUUAAGCGAGUUUUGGGUUCCGAGGGGACGCCCGCUCCUGGGCAUCCCCUUGGGUUGGGCUUGCAUGGCGGACACAGGAAAGCGGGGGGAGCCCGUGAGGCACACGUUAAAAUUGAAAAGGAAGACCACGUCCAGUUCAUAUCUGUGAGUCACAAAGAAGUAGAUAAGAACGUACCCUUUGCGCCUGUUAGAAGAUCUACAAAAGGCAGAAAACCUCGUUACGAUGGUUCUCUGGUUCAGUUGACUAGGAGAUUCAUGGAUCUUGUCAAAGUUGCUCCGGAAGGUGUUCUCGAUUUAAAUGAAGUGUCACGGGUGCUGGGGGUGCGGAAACGAAGAGUAUACGAUAUCACAAACGUGCUGGAUGGAAUACAUCUUAUCCAGAAAAGAUCCAAGAACCUGAUCCAGUGGGUUGGAUCGGAUAUCAAACAGAUUACUAAAAGGACACCUGAGCAUCAGAAGUUAAGAGAUGAACUCCUUGAUUUAACAGCAAUGGAGGAAGCACUAGAUGAAUUAAUAAAGGAUUGUGCUCAUCAAUUGUUUGACUUAACAGAUGACAAAGAAAAUGCAAGGCUAGCUUAUGUCACCUAUCAAGAUAUCCGUAGUAUUCAGACGUUUCAAGAACAGAUUAUUAUUGCAAUCAAGGCUCCAGAAGAAACAAAAAUGGAGGUACCAGCUCCAAAAGAAGAUUGCAUAGAAGUACGCCUGAGAAGCACAAAAGGACCCAUUGAUGUCUAUUUAUGUGAGGUACCGCUAUGUAACCCAGAUGCUGAUGCUUUGAGAAACACAGGCAGCCUUUCAUUCGAAACUAAAUAGGCAGCUGCUGUGAAUGGAGCUGAUCCCAGAGAGGAUGUAGAAACCUUGAACCAGUGCCUGGAGGCAGUUUUGGAGCAGAUGUGGGCUAAUAAACUGAAGCUUAAUCCUGACAAAAUGGAAGUGCUAAUGAGCAAGCAGAAUAAGAAGAAAUCAAAUACUUGUAGCAAUUUGAGCCUCAGCUUCAUGAACUUCUCAGGAUUUUCUUAACUAUUAUGGAACUACACAGAGACAACAAAGAGUUUUUCUUACCUGCAGUGGGGAGACCAGAAUAUCAUUGGGAUUGUGGAGUAAAUGCCAUAUCUUGAAGCUUUACACUAACAUAGAGGUUGAGACUAACCUGCAUUCGCCCUCCCUCCGCUGGUGUCAUUGCCCUCUAAUUUGCAGCUGUGUGACAAAAGUAAUUUGAGUACUACUGUGCAAGCCAGACUUUGGAAAGAUGGCUUGAGUUCUUUCUGUAUAGUGCAUUUAUCAAAGUGUGUGUGUGUGCGCAUGCCCUGGACGUGCACAUCUGAACAAAUUAGUAUCCUCUUGCACAGCUUAAUGAAGAGAGAUUCAGUGAAUAUGAAUUUGUCAAUUUAAAAAAUAACCCUUCAGAACUGAAUCUGUAGAUGUGGAUGGUAAGGGACAAUUUUUGAAGAAAUGUACUUUUUCAUUCUGAAACUGUCCUGUUGCCAAAUGGAAUGAUCAGAGUUAUACUGAGAUGUAAAAGAACCUGGCAAAGGAAAUAUUUCACAGAGGAAGAACAGAAUAAAACACUUACGCCUAUGAAAACUAUGCACUCUGUUCUGUGGAAGCUGUUUAUGUGAUGUGCUUUGAGCUCAGUAUUGAACUGUGGAUCCUCAAGAAAUAUGUAUUGCUUGGACCAUGUGUAUAUAUGUGUAUUAUGUUUAAAUACUUGCUAAUGGGAAUUUUGGUGGGUUGAGUGGCACUUGUGUUUCUGUACAGCAAAGUGGAAGUAAAUCUGUAAAUAUGAAAAAUGCUCAGCCUGCUGUCUUAGUACAUCAAGUUCCACUAUCGGUAGUAAGAAACUAAUGUUUAAACUUACGCUGUGUAAUCAUGAAAGGCUAUGGAUGGUUUUAAAAGAAGUGGGUGUUUUGAUGUACCUGUUCUCUGGACAAGAAACUUCUGUUAGGACAGAAUAUGGGGAAACAAUACUUGCCAGUUGGCAAAGGGGUCAAACAAGAAUGUAUACUUUCUCCCCCUCAGUUCAAUCUGUAUGUAGAACAUACCAUAAGGAAAGCUGGAUUAGAAGAAGGUCAAGGGAAAAUUGGUGGAAGGAACAUUAGUAAUUUAAGAUAUGCAGAUGAUACCCUGUUACUGGCCGAACAUAAUAAAUACUUGUUUUAUUGAA
This is an RNA transcript of Eublepharis macularius, 2191 nucleotides long. It is a transcript of the gene named E2F transcription factor 6, with no coding region annotated. The transcript has 8 exons. The record is from RefSeq and is a predicted model, not a curated record. NCBI's taxonomy places the organism in Eukaryota, Metazoa, Chordata, Lepidosauria, Squamata, Eublepharidae.